AUUGAACGCUGGCGGCAGGCCUAACACAUGCAAGUCGAGCGGAGCGGCGGACGGGUGGGUAAUGCAUAGGAAUCGGCCUGGUAGUGGGGGAUAACGUACGGAAACGGGCGCUAAUACAGCAUACUAUCAGAUGGGCCUAGGUCGGAUUAGCUAGUUGGUGGGGUAAAGGCCUAACAAGGCGACGAUCCGUAACUGGUCUGAGAGGAUGAUCAGUCACACUGGAACUGAGACACGGGCCAGACUCCUACGGUAGGCAGCAGUGGUGAAUAUUGGACAAUGGGCGAAAGCCUGAUGCAGCCAUGCCGCGUGUGUGAAGAAGGCCUUCGGAUUGUAAAGCACUUUAAGUUGGGAGGCGUUACCAACAGAAUAAGCACCGGCUAACUCCGUGCCAGCAGCCGCGGUAAUAC
This 407-nucleotide ribosomal RNA is filed under the name uncultured bacterium. RNAcentral describes it as "partial 16S ribosomal RNA". It matches the Rfam family "Bacterial small subunit ribosomal RNA", at positions 30 to 526 of the family's 1533-position model. The record is from RNAcentral.